This is a non-coding RNA of Puccinia sorghi, 72 nucleotides long. Lineage: Eukaryota; Fungi; Basidiomycota; Pucciniomycetes; Pucciniales; Pucciniaceae. The record is from the annotation of a GenBank genome assembly.
CUGCACAGUCACUGUGCAGUAUCACUGUGCAUACUGCACAGUCACUGUGCAUACUGCACAGUCACUGUACAG